GAGACGGGUCUCUCUGAGAUCCGUCAUCGGAAUGAGAACAAUCUAAACCCUUUAACGAGGACCUAGCGGAGGGCAAGUCUGGUGCCAGCAGCCGCGGUAAUUCCAGCUCCGCCAGUGUAUAUCUAUGCUGCUGCGGUUAAAAAGCUCGUAGUUGGAUCUGCGUGCCAGCGACCGGUCCGCCUAUGUGGUGUGCACUGGAUUGCGGCACUGAAUGGCUGGUUUUCUCUUGAUGCCCUUAACCGGGUGUCCUGAGUGGCUAGCAAGUUUACUUUGAAAAAAUUAGAGUGCUCAAGACAAGCGACUUGCUUGAAUAGUGGUGCAUGGAAUAAUAGAAUAGGACCUUGGUUCUAUUUUGUUGGUUUUCGGAACACGAGGUAAUGAUUAAGAGGAACAGACGGGGGCAUUCGUAUUGCGACGUUAGAGGUGAAAUUCUUGGAUCGUCGCAAGACGUACUACUGCGAAAGCUUUUGCCAA
This 474-nucleotide ribosomal RNA is filed under the name Metadesmolaimus sp. Its description in RNAcentral is "SSU rRNA". It matches the Rfam family "Eukaryotic small subunit ribosomal RNA", at positions 482 to 961 of the family's 1831-position model. The record is from RNAcentral. Lineage: Eukaryota; Metazoa; Nematoda; Chromadorea; Monhysterida; Xyalidae.